CUGUUUUUUUCUUGGAGGUAUUAACACAUACACUCAGUGCACAGAAAGCCUGGUUCCACCCCCUUCCUGUCAUCUUUGUGGGCUCUGUCAGCAAGUUAGAGCAUGCUGGUGACCUCACGGUGGACAUUCCGAUGCCCAGGAUGCCCUCAGGCCCUGUCUCACGAUGACUCCCACUUCCACGAGCGGCACAAGUGCAUCAACUUCUUCGUGAAGGUGUACGGCUACAUGCCCCUCCUGUACACACAGUUCAGGGUGGAUUCUGUGCUCUUCAAGACACGCCUGCCCCAUGACAAGACCAAGUGCUUCAAGUUCAUCUAGGGGCAGCGCACGGUCUGGGGAAGAGGAUGAGCAGAGGGAGGAAGAUGGCUCCCAAGGUUCCUAGGCAUUGCAGGACCUUGGGCACAUCUGCUGGUGGGUGGCCCAGAGCCUCUGCUGGAAGGGGCAGCAGGAGGAGUGGAAGGAAACCGCUGCCUUUAUCUUGAAGUCAGCCACACUGGGCCUGGAGCCCUGGGCGGAGGCCCCGGGGUUCCCCACACAGGGCACUGA
Molecule: small RNA, 546 nt
Filed under: Pan troglodytes (chimpanzee)
Lineage: Eukaryota; Metazoa; Chordata; Mammalia; Primates; Hominidae
Description: processed transcript
Source: RNAcentral